RNAcentral lists this ribosomal RNA (481 nucleotides) under uncultured bacterium. Its description in RNAcentral is "partial 16S ribosomal RNA". It matches the Rfam family "Bacterial small subunit ribosomal RNA", at positions 28 to 507 of the family's 1533-position model. The record is from RNAcentral.
GAUGAACGCUGGCGGCGUGCUUAACACAUGCAAGUCGAACGAAGCACUUUAUUUGAUUUCCUUCGGGACUGAUUAUUUUGUGACUGAGUGGCGGACGGGUGAGUAACGCGUGGGUAACCUGCCUUUUACAGGGGGAUAACAGUUGGAAACGGCUGCUAAUACCGCAUAAGCGCACAGCAUCGCAUGAUGCAGUGUGAAAAACUCCGGUGGUAUAAGAUGGACCCGCGUUGGAUUAGCUAGUUGGUGAGGUAACGGCCCACCAAGGCGACGAUCCAUAGCCGACCUGAGAGUGUGACCGGCCACAUUGGGACUGAGACACGGCCCAAACUCCUACGGGAGGCAGCAGUGGGGAAUAUUGAACAAUGGGCGAAAGCCUGAUGCAGCGACGCCGCGUGAGCGAAGAAGUAUUUCGGUAUGUAAAGCUCUAUCAGCAGGGAAGAUAAUGACGGUACCUGACUAAGAAGCACCGGCUAAAUACGUG